Molecule: long non-coding RNA, 1340 nt
Filed under: Triticum aestivum (bread wheat)
Lineage: Eukaryota; Viridiplantae; Streptophyta; Magnoliopsida; Poales; Poaceae
Description: long non-coding RNA (TAES_LNC016689)
Source: RNAcentral
AAAAUAUAACAUGCACUUAACAUGAGUCAAAAAAAAUAUAUACAGUUGCACCCAAAUUCUGGAAACAUUCCAUUUCGGAAAUAACAUGGUAUAGUUCUCAUUUCUCACACAGAAGAAUUAUAUAUAAGAAGUUCAACCUUUCCACAUUUUGUCUCAAUAUUUGUUUUGUUCAAAUACCGCUGUAAUAAACUACACUUCAACCUAAGAUUAAUCUCUUAAAAUACAGAAAAUCAUUACAUGUAUUAUGUAUGCAUAUUCCUAGCAUGACAACCCACUGAUAUUGCUCUCGACUUGGUCUGUAUUAGCAUCACAACUUCAUGUGCUUACUUAAUCCAAGUCAUGGCCGGAUGUGCAUAUCAGCAUAUGCUUCAAGCAAGCUAUGGUUGAAGAAAACCACCAUGUCCCUCUCUUGUUUCUAUCAAUUUGCAGUCCUCCCUUCAUGCUUAGGAGGCCCUGAAGCCCUCUUCUUCACCCAAACAGUAUACCUAGAAGAGUUCACUGAUUAGUGUCAUGAUAAAAAAUGAUGCAAACUGAUGAAAGCUCUCAAGAUAACAAAGCUUUUAGACAAAACAGAAUGGCCAUUCAACCUCUAGUGAAUAAACAAUAUAAUGACGAUUAGUGCUAGAGAAUUAAUUAAAUUAUAGCAUUGGACAUCAAAUAAAUUUGAAUGAAGUGAAGAAAGAGGUACAACAAAAAGCAGGCGUCUUGAGUAAUGAUUAACCUACACAUAUCAUACAUGAAUGAGGGAGGGAGGAAUUUGAAAUUUUAGUGGCAAUAAGAAUGACAUGGUUUCGAUUCUGAAUCUCUACUGGGAUGAAAGUGAAAAUACAGUGGGAACAUAGCAUCACAAACCAAUGAUUGCAUUGCCUGCUACUCUGCACAUGGCUGCAAUAAGCAUACCUAUAUGAAUGCUCUAGAAUUCUGGCAGGAUAUCACAUACACACUAAAUGUGUAGCUCCUCUGCUCCUCCGGCUGUGGGAUUUUUUUUGGGUAACAGAUGCCUGAACCAUGGCGUCUUUGCUUGCUUAUCUGCACACACGAAUCAUGUAAAAGUGUCACAACAACCCAUCGGGGCACCCAUCAGAUCUAAUAAGAGAUGGCUUGAUCAGCAACGGUGGACGAAGGAACAAAUCAUCGUCAGGGAGCGCAUUCAUAUCAAAAUAGCGAUCGAUAUGACGGAGGUGUUAGUCACCAUCAUGCUAGCCGACAAGAUGUGGUCCUCGAGAAAACGUUAUCUAAAUACAGGCUAUAGUUUGUGUGCAAGUCUGCACAAUUUAGAAACCUAAUGUUCUGUCAGUAUCUAAGGAACAAGUUAACAAAACCAAUUUACAGAAGCAGCA